GAGUUUGAUCCUGGCUCAGAUUGAACGCUGGCGGCAGGCCUAACACAUGCAAGUCGAACGGUAACAGGAAACAGCUUGCUGUUUCGCUGACGAGUGGCGAACGGGUGAGUAAUGUCUGGGAAACUGCCUGAUGGAGGGGGAUAACUACUGGAAACGGUAGCUAAUACCGCAUAACGUCGCAAGACCAAAGAGGGGGACCUUCGGGCCUCUUGCCAUCGGAUGUGCCCAGAUGGGAUUAGCUAGUAGGUGGGGUAACGGCUCACCUAGGCGACGAUCCCUAGCUGGUCUGAGAGGAUGACCAGCCACACUGGAACUGAGACACGGUCCAGACUCCUACGGGAGGCAGCAGUGGGGAAUAUUGCACAAUGGGCGCAAGCCUGAUGCAGCCAUGCCGCGUGUAUGAAGAAGGCCUUCGGGUUGUAAAGUACUUUCAGCGGGGAGGAAGGGAGUAAAGUUAAUACCUUUGCUCAUUGACGUUACCCGCAGAAGAAGCACCGGCUAACUCCGUGCCAGCAGCCGCGGUAAUACGGAGGGUGCAAGCGUUAAUCGGAAUUACUGGGCGUAAAGCGCACGCAGGCGGUUUGUUAAGUCAGAUGUGAAAUCCCCGGGCUCAACCUGGGAACUGCAUCUGAUACUGGCAAGCUUGAGUCUCGUAGAGG
RNAcentral lists this ribosomal RNA (659 nucleotides) under uncultured bacterium. RNAcentral's name for it is "bacterial SSU rRNA". It matches the Rfam family "Bacterial small subunit ribosomal RNA", at positions 9 to 657 of the family's 1533-position model. The record is from RNAcentral.